Molecule: long non-coding RNA, 845 nt
Filed under: Homo sapiens (human)
Lineage: Eukaryota; Metazoa; Chordata; Mammalia; Primates; Hominidae
Description: HSALNT0320784
Source: RNAcentral
GUUUGGGCAAAUUUAGUUGGCCUGUCUUUAAACUCGCUGCUUCUUUCUUCAGCUGUGUUGAGUCUGCUGGUGAGCUUGUCACAGACCGUCAACCCAAUGAGCAGUGAGACAAUUCUGGACUCUCAUUUCAUCCACAGUGACCCAGGCACCCAAUUAUUGAAUGCUUUUAGAAGUCUUCUCAAAUGAAUCUCUAUGAACAGCAGUAAUAACGGUCUCAGGUCUGAAGUCCACUGCGGUCAGCCUUCCCUGGUGGUGAGCUGCUGUCAGAACCUCCCCACUACUCCUCUGGGUGGCCCCAGUCUUGUGCCUAUUUCCCUCUCGUGGUCAUCAAGUCUCGCCCAGGUAAGUGACCUGCCCACAAGGGACAUUCUGCUUGAGAGCCUUUUAAAAAGUCAGGUUUAUUAUGGCAUAACUUAAACAGUAAAGUACAGUUGGAUGGGUUUUGACAAAUGCAUGUGGCCCUGAAACCAGUACCACAAUUUAGAUACAAUAUUUUUGUCACCUUAGAAAGUCCCAUUGGGCCCCUUGGAACUCAAUUCCCUUCUCCACCCUCAGCCAUAUACAGUAGGUAAUGAAUAUUUGAUUAGCAAAUAUUUAGUCACCUAUUAGACAAAGUGAGUUCUAAUGUCCAGUAACAAGAACUCAGUCCAAAUGCCACAGGAACAAAGAAACCAGCCAUUUAACCUACCAAACACAAAAUACACCAGGAAAAAACAGGACAAAAAAAAAGCAAGAGGGAAACAAAUGUUUUAAUAAAAUAAUUGCAUUUUGCAAAACCGUAAACUCCUAAGCCUUCUGAAAAAGUCUGGAAGUUCCCUUCAGAAUAUCUAUAGAAGAUCCUGUCU